RNAcentral lists this ribosomal RNA (469 nucleotides) under Solobacterium moorei. RNAcentral's name for it is "bacterial SSU rRNA". It matches the Rfam family "Bacterial small subunit ribosomal RNA", at positions 28 to 494 of the family's 1533-position model. Lineage: Bacteria; Bacillati; Bacillota; Erysipelotrichia; Erysipelotrichales; Erysipelotrichaceae. The record is from RNAcentral.
GAUGAACGCUGGCGGCGUGCCUAAUACAUGCAAGUCGAACGCUGGAGAUCUAGCUUGCUAGAUCGAAGGAGUGGCGAACGGGUGAGUAAUACAUAAGCAACCUACCCACGAAGACUGGGAUAAUCUCUGGAAACGGGGACUAAUACCGGAUAGGUAAUCGGAAGGCAUCUUCUGGUUAUUAAAGGUUAAAAACACUGGUGGAUGGGCUUAUGGCGCAUUAGUUAGUUGGUGAGGUAACGGCCCACCAAGACGAUGAUGCGUAGCCGGCCUGAGAGGGUGAACGGCCACAUUGGGACUGAGACACGGCCCAGACUCCUACGGGAGGCAGCAGUAGGGAAUUUUCGGCAAUGGGGGCAACCCUGACCGAGCAACGCCGCGUGAGUGAAGACGGCCUUCGGGUUGUAAAGCUCUGUUGUAAGGGAAGAACGGUAGAUAGAGAAUAUCUAAGGACGUACCUACCAGAAGCCAC